Molecule: long non-coding RNA, 1217 nt
Organism: Pan troglodytes (chimpanzee)
Lineage: Eukaryota; Metazoa; Chordata; Mammalia; Primates; Hominidae
Exons: 11
Source: RefSeq, a predicted model, not a curated record
AUGCGGUCAACGUAUGCGCGUGCGCUCGCCAUAGCCCCGCCCCCAAAUCCCGUGGGCCUCUGCGGCAUGGUAUUUAAUCGUGUCCCCGGGGGAGAUUCGUUCUCAUUUUUCUACUGCUCUCGGAUUUACGCGCACGUUGGAACCGAAGAGAGCUCUGUUGUUGCAAUGUUCAGCCCACAAGACCUUACUGGUGAAGGAAUGGGACAAGACCCAUCUUUAUGCAAAGCCAGCGUUACAGUAAUGUCCCAGCAUCUCAUAAUCUAUCCUGGGGAAUUCAGCUGCCUCCCAGGGUGAAUACAGGUAUUCCUGAUGACAGUCUGCCUUCUAUCUUACAGAGCAGCUUGUUGCUAUAUACCAUUGAAAAGCCUUCAGAGCUGAGAGGUACUACUAACCAAUAACCUGCUUGGCUCAAAGGGCCAGCACCUUCUCUCUAAAGCCCAAGAGGAGUUUGAGGAAAACUAGGUGUCUGUGUUCACUCCAGGCUGAAGUUACAGGUCUGAGCAAAUAAGGUGUAUAAAAAAUGGAAUCUGUCUUGGAGGACAUCGGAAGGUGAAUUUUCCAAGUCCUUGGACAACCUAGCUGUUGAAAAGCUUUCUGGGUUUGGGGAGUAUUUCAGAUGUACCUUAAAGUGUUAGCAGACACAGAUUAAGACACUGGGAGCCAAUGAAACAGCAGUUGAGGGUUUGCUGUGUAUCACAUUUCUGUAUUUUAUCACCCCCUUCCUGCAACAUUAUUUCUCUGGAAUCUACCUGCCCUUUUGUUUUUUAGAUACAAGGGCUUGGUUUUGUUACCCAGGCUGGUUUCAAGGCCAUAGCUUUAAGAGAUCCUCUCACCACAGAUUUCCAAAGUGCUGGGAUUGCAGGUGUGAUUCAUGGCACCCAGACUUUGCUGCCUUUCUUACAUAAUCCAGGCCCAGAACCCAAACUCAGGCACUGCAUAGAUGACCAGUUUUGUAAACUACUGACCUAGCUUGUUGCCAAUUGUUGAUUGAACUUCCCAUAACUCCACUUCGUGUCUGUUCCUCUGUAUACAGCCACCUUCUGUUCCCAUCAUGAGCCUUUAGGUCUCCAUUUGCAUAUUGCAAAUACUAUGUUCCAUGUAGGUAGCUCAUGCAGGGCCUUGCUCUUCACUUCAAAAAAGGUUCCCUUGAGGACUGGCUGUCAAUUUGUGUUGCUGUGUUGGUUGUUGAUGAAAAUAAUAAAAUGAUUGAUUACAUA